Long non-coding RNA from Pseudophryne corroboree (corroboree frog), 406 nucleotides. RefSeq lists it as uncharacterized. The record is from RefSeq and is a predicted model, not a curated record. The transcript has 3 exons. NCBI's taxonomy places the organism in Eukaryota, Metazoa, Chordata, Amphibia, Anura, Myobatrachidae.
UUCUCCAGUGUUCUAAUCAGACCUUGUGGAAUGCCUCGGAUUGCUCUGCACUGGUACAGCAAGUAAUAAAGGAACAGCACUGCGUAAAGACGACGCCAACAUUUGCAGAAUACCAAAUGACUGGGUUACCCAGGAGCUGGACCUGAACCUGCUGAGAUGUACAAAUAAGCUACAGAUCGCCCUGUAAUGGGAGUGAAUGGACUGGAUGUUGCCGGAUUGAGACCUUCUGACUUGGUUAUUCCAUUCACUAUUAAUAAAGGAGAGAUCACAGGAGAGGUCCGUAUGCCUUCUGGGAAAGUAGCAAAGCCGGAUAUCACCAACUACAAGGAUGGGACAGUGACGGUUAGAUACGUUCCCACAGAAGCUGGGCUCCACGAGAUGGAUAGAAAGUAUAACGGCAUCCAUA